GAUGAACGCUAGCUACAGGCUUAACACAUGCAAGUCGAGGGGAAACGACAUCGAAAGCUUGCUUUUGAUGGGCGUCGACCGGCGCACGGGGGAGUAACGCGUAUCCAACCUGCCCAUCACUUGGGAAUAACCUUGCGAAAGUAAGACUAAUACCCAAUGAUAUCCCACGAAGGCAUCGGAAUGGGAUCAAAGAUUUAUCGGUGAUGGAUGGGGCUGCGUCUGAUUAGCUGGGUGGCGGGGUAACGGCCCACCGAGGCAACGAUCAGUAGGGGUGCUGAGAGUCAGGUCCCCCGCAUUGGAACUGCGGCACGGUCCACACUCCUACGGGGCGCAGCAGUGUGUUAUACUAGUCACUGAGCGCGGGCCUGAACCAGCCAAGUAGCGUGCAAGAAGCCGGCGCUUGGGGUUGUAAACUGCUUGUAUAAGGGAAUAAAGUGGGUAACGUGUGACUUUUUGCCUGUACCUAAUGAAUAAGCACCGGCUAACUUCGUG
This 492-nucleotide ribosomal RNA is filed under the name uncultured bacterium. RNAcentral's name for it is "partial 16S ribosomal RNA". It matches the Rfam family "Bacterial small subunit ribosomal RNA", at positions 28 to 507 of the family's 1533-position model. The record is from RNAcentral.